AGGACGAACGCUGGCGGCGUGCCUAAUACAUGCAAGUCGAACGGUCUUUCUAUGGAAGCUUGCUUCCACUGAGAAGAUAGUGGCGAACGGGUGAGUAACACGUGGGUAACCUGCCCAUAAGAGGGGGGAUAACAUCCGGAAACGGGUGCUAAUACCGCAUAGUUUCUUGAUCGCAUGAUUGAGAAAGGAAAGACGGCCUUUGUGCUGUCGCUUAUGGAUGGACCCGCGGCGUAUUAGUUAGUUGGUGAGGUAACGGCUCACCAAGACGAUGAUACGUAGCCGACCUGAGAGGGUGAUCGGCCACAUUGGGACUGAGACACGGCCCAAACUCCUACGGGAGGCAGCAGUAGGGAAUCUUCCGCAAUGGACGAAAGUCUGACGGAGCAACGCCGCGUGAGUGAAAGAAGGUUUUCGGAUCGUAAAACUCUGUUGUCAGAGAAGAACAAGUUGGAGAGUAACUGCUCCAGCCUUGACGGUAUCUGACCAGAAAGCCACGGCUAACUACGUGCCAGCCGCGGC
Molecule: ribosomal RNA, 519 nt
Filed under: uncultured bacterium
Lineage: Bacteria
Description: bacterial SSU rRNA
Rfam family: Bacterial small subunit ribosomal RNA
Source: RNAcentral